This is a ribosomal RNA of Lepisosteus oculatus (spotted gar), 119 nucleotides long. NCBI's taxonomy places the organism in Eukaryota, Metazoa, Chordata, Actinopteri, Semionotiformes, Lepisosteidae. The record is from Ensembl.
GCCAGCAGCCAUAUCACCCUGCAACUCACAACUGGCAGCCUAUUGAAGCUAAGCAGGUGUGAGCCUGGUCAGUACUUGGAUAGGAGACCUCCUGGGAAAAACUAAGGUUGCUGCUGGAA